GUGCUUGCUUUGGCAGCACAUAUAUUAAAAUUGGAAUAGUACAGAGAAGAUUAGCAUGGCCCCAAGCAAGGAUGACACAUAAAUUCAUGAAGUAUUCCAUAUUACA
Molecule: small nuclear RNA, 106 nt
Organism: Ictidomys tridecemlineatus (thirteen-lined ground squirrel)
Lineage: Eukaryota; Metazoa; Chordata; Mammalia; Rodentia; Sciuridae
Source: Ensembl